AUACGGAGGGUGCAAGUGUUAUUCGGAAUCACUGGGCGUAAAGGACGCGUAGGCGGGUUGGCAAGUCAUAUGUGAAAUCCUACAGCUUAACUGUAGAACUGCAUUUGAAACUGCUAACCUAGAGUAUGGGAGGGGGAGAUGGAAUUAGUGGUGUAGGGGUAAAAUCCGUAGAUAUCACUAGGAAUACCGAAAGCGAAGGCGAUCUCCUGGAACAUAACUGACGCUAAGGCGUGAAAGCGUGGGGAGCAAACAGGAUUAGAAACCCCUGUAGUCC
RNAcentral lists this ribosomal RNA (274 nucleotides) under uncultured bacterium. RNAcentral's name for it is "partial 16S ribosomal RNA". It matches the Rfam family "Bacterial small subunit ribosomal RNA", at positions 523 to 796 of the family's 1533-position model. The record is from RNAcentral.